UCUGGGAGCGAGCCUGCUCGCGAUUCAGGCAACUCGGUUUGGCUUUAAAACCGAGGUGAUGCCAUCGCGAGCAGGCUCGCUCCCACA
This 87-nucleotide unclassified non-coding RNA is filed under the name Pseudomonas sp. A214. The record is from RNAcentral. Lineage: Bacteria; Pseudomonadati; Pseudomonadota; Gammaproteobacteria; Pseudomonadales; Pseudomonadaceae.